GACGUAGGGCGCGAGCGUUGUCCGGAUUUAUUGGGCGUAAAGAGCUCGUAGGCGGCUUGUCGCGUCGACUGUGAAAACCCACGGCUUAACUGUGGGCUUGCAGUCGAUACGGGCAGGCUAGAGUUCGGUAGGGGAGACUGGAAUUCCUGGUGUAGCGGUGAAAUGCGCAGAUAUCAGGAGGAACACCGGUGGCGAAGGCGGGUCUCUGGGCCGAUAUCGACGCUGAGGAGCGAAAGCGUGGGGAGCGAACAGG
Molecule: ribosomal RNA, 253 nt
Filed under: uncultured bacterium
Lineage: Bacteria
Description: partial 16S ribosomal RNA
Rfam family: Bacterial small subunit ribosomal RNA
Source: RNAcentral